Molecule: ribosomal RNA, 484 nt
Filed under: uncultured bacterium
Lineage: Bacteria
Description: partial 16S ribosomal RNA
Rfam family: Bacterial small subunit ribosomal RNA
Source: RNAcentral
AUUGAACGCUGGCGGCAUGCUUUACACAUGCAAGUCGAACGGCAGCGCGGGCUUCGGCCUGGCGGCGAGUGGCGAACGGGUGAGUAAUGCAUCGGAACGUGCCCAGUAGUGGGGGAUAGCCCGGCGAAAGCCGGAUUAAUACCGCAUACGACCUGAGGGUGAAAGCGGGGGACCGAAAGGCCUCGCGCUAUUGGAGCGGCCGAUGUCGGAUUAGCUAGUUGGUGGGGUAAAGGCUUACCAAGGCGACGAUCCGUAGCUGGUCUGAGAGGACGACCAGCCACACGGGGACGGGAACACGGCCCAGACUCCUACGGGAGGCAGCAGUGGGGAAUUUUGGACAAUGGGGGCAACCCUGAUCCAGCCAUGCCGCGUGCGGGAAGAAGGCCUUCGGGUUGUAAACCGCUUUUGUUCGGGAAGAAAUCCUCUGGGCUAAUACCCCGGGGGGAUGACGGUACCGGAAGAAUAAGCACCGGCUAACUACGUG